Molecule: non-coding RNA, 965 nt
Organism: Salmo salar (Atlantic salmon)
Lineage: Eukaryota; Metazoa; Chordata; Actinopteri; Salmoniformes; Salmonidae
Source: RefSeq, a predicted model, not a curated record
GGGAGAGAUAACGGUCAUAUUGACAGAGGAGUCAGGAGAUCUGAUUACCACCAGAGAGAGACCAGACUCUGACAGCAGGAAGAGUUCCUCAGGGGAAACAGACCCAGAGACGCCUAACCAACACCACUGCUCCCACUGUGGAAAGAGUUUUAGGUGGUUUGGGAGCCUGAAAAUGCAUGAGAGAACACAUACAGGAGAAAAGCCCUACCACUGUUCCCACUGUGGAAAGAAUUUUACUCAGUUAGGGGCCCUGGUUGGACAUGAGAGAACACACACGGGAGAGAAGCCUUAUCACUGUUCUCACUGUGGAAACAGUUUUAGGUGGUUAUGGGUCCUGAAAAAGCAUGAGAGAAUACACACGGGAGAGAAACCUUAUCACUGUUCUCACUGUGGAAACAGUUUUAGGUGGUUAGUGAGCCUGAAAACGCAUGAGAGAAUACACACAGGAGAAAAGCCUUUCCAAUGUUCCCAGUGUGAAAAGAGUUUUAGGUGGUCGGGGAGUCUGAAAAAGCAUGCGAGAAAACACACAGGAGAAAAGCCUUUCCAACAUACUAAUACACAGGAGGAGAAGACAUACCACUGCUCUCAUUGUGGAAAGACAUUUUCCCAGUCAGAGGACCUGAAAUCACACGAGAGAAUAGAGAGGCUGUGUUCUGACUUGUGUUUCUGACUGAGAAUUUGUCCACGGCCAGGAUUCAUAGGGCCAGGGUGUCCGCUAUGGACGCCUGGAAAAAAUCAGCAGUGGACAUUUCUGAACGUUUAUCCAACAGACCUGUACAUCCAUGAAUGGAUCUCUAUAAUGUGUAACUAUUUCUGAUGUAUGUGUUGUGAUGUAUUGUUUAAUAGAUGUACUAUGUUAGGUAUAUUUAUCUGUGGUUUAAUUUCAACAGAUUUUACUGAUGCUAUUAGAUUGCUGUGUGGGGGGAGUUUUAUAUAUACAGUGCCUUCAGAAAGUAUUCACACCC